GUUGACAGAGCACAAAAAAGACUCCCCAUGGCAUGAUUACUGGAGUACCAUCAACCAGUCUGAUAAAGCCAGGGACUGUGUUAUGAUGGACUUUAGGAACAGAGGGCCAUACAACACCAGGAGACAUAUUGCUUUGCUUUUUAUCUACAAUCUACACUUCCCUUAAGACUAAAGAAGAGUAUCUUGGGGUGAGCAAAUAGAGUGUAAUCAUAAACCAACUUAGCUAGAAGGUCUGCCUAUUCUGCAGCUAAUAGAAUAGGAACUUGAGUUGAGGCAGAAGUGUAUGGCCCUUGCCACACUGCCCAAUAAACUCUAUCUCAAAUCAAGGUAAUAAAAAGGAAUCCAAGUUUCUUUUCGGUGGACAUAAAGACAAGAAUAUAACUGAAAUUCCACUCUUAGUACACCUCUUAAAAUUGUUAAAGAGAUAUCUUAGAGAUGAUUCUCCCAUAUUAUUGUUUUAUCACUUUUAGUGAUACAAAGACUUGCAAUGCCUAACUUCUAUACAACUGAACACUUCAGGAAACUGAGAUAUUCAUUCUUUAAUCUCCUAAUGUCUUACUUAAUAACUUGCUGCCCAAGUAACUGAUGUAAUUUAGCUUUCCAACAUUUAGACAAUUAUGAGUCAAAUGUCUAAGCUAGCAUAAUUCAGGAAACAUUAAUUGAAUUAAUGGUCAUGUUCUAUAAAGUUUUCUAGAAACUAGGUCCUCUAACUUUCUUCUAAUAAUCUUGGCAGGGGGGCCUCCAUUUUAAGAACAUGGAUUUAGGAAGACAUACACGCACUGGCUUCAAUCAAUGUCAACUCUCCAUAUGUUUGCAAUUAACUUUCAGUAGAUAGUCAUUUUGAAAGACUCACUUAUCAACAAAAAUGACAGAAUUCUUUCUAUCCCCAGGUAGCUUAUGUUGAGACCACGCAAUUUGCUCAAGACAUCAUCUCCUUUGCAAAACAUUACACGACUAUGAAAAAGGUCAAGAAUGAAGGUGUAUUUAUAUUAAUUAACACUUCAUAGACAACAGGUCCAGUGCUUACUGUUUCACAGACAUGAAAAUGAAUUUAUUAGUAGCUGGCCUUGGAUUGUUACGAUAUAGCACUGUGGUGCCAAUAGAUAAAAAAUUCUUACUAAAUAAAUAUGUAAUCAAAUGAA
Molecule: long non-coding RNA, 1142 nt
Organism: Felis catus (domestic cat)
Lineage: Eukaryota; Metazoa; Chordata; Mammalia; Carnivora; Felidae
Exons: 2
Source: RefSeq, a predicted model, not a curated record